UACCCACUUAAAUGAAUCGUAAAUAGUCAAUUAGAACAAUGGCAAAAAUCGUAAAUAGAGAGUGGUAAAUUUUGAUAAGUGCUGAGGGUGGAAAGGUCUUUUGAAAAAAAAAAAAAAAUUCCACUAACAAUCAGACUUGAGCUUCCCGUGUAAGCCAUCAAAGAACCAUUUUUCUUUGGGAGUUUUCUAGAACAAGUGAGACGGUGAGUGGUGGAUGAUGGGUGGCUUGGGUAGUGAGUCCGGCUGGGUCAAAAUAGUUUGAAGCUUAUGAUUGUUGUGUCUACAGCUGGGUUUUCUCUUGUGAAGUGUUGGAAGGACGAUUUGCAGUACAAGGGUGUGAGAAACUCUUUAAGAAUAGAGACUAGGGCCAUGCUCAAGAAUGUUCUUGAAGGGAAAUUGAAGACUUGCGUUUACGAAGAUAUAUGAGCUGCUGGAAUUUUUGUUGAAGUUGGAAAUUUGGUGGAAAUACACAGGGCAAGCACCAAGUGGUGCUAAAUGUGAGAUUUUAUUAUUUAAAAUGGUAAAUGGAACUUAUUGGAGCCUAAUGAGGUCAUAUGUGAAUCUUUUGUAGUGAACCAGGUGAAUAAAAAAAAAUCAUCAUCAAGGAGGCAAGGAAAGUAAUAAAGCUUUCAAGGGUGACUAGUUGACCGGUGAACUACGCGACUACUGGAGGAAUUAGAUGGUGUUUUAAUUGCUAAUACCAGAUAUAGUUGAUCCAGUAGAGCCAGAUCUUCCCACAGCCAGAUAGACUUUCAACCUCCUUAUUCUGGUGAGCCCAGCACAUAUAGUGCGGGUGUGAUUAUGUAUUAUUUUGGACUCAUGUAUCACCGUAUUUUAUCGACUCUAGAUGCUCCGUUAACUACAGAUAAGGUAUAAUGAUAUGUAAGGCUAUGGGCCAGACUGUGUUGUAGGUAUUUUCAUAUCACGUAUGUUUUGUUUAUUUGAUUAUAUUAGUGCCAAACCACCUGUUCAGAGGCU
Long non-coding RNA from Tripterygium wilfordii, 978 nucleotides. RefSeq lists it as uncharacterized. The transcript is spliced from 5 exons. Lineage: Eukaryota; Viridiplantae; Streptophyta; Magnoliopsida; Celastrales; Celastraceae. The record is from RefSeq and is a predicted model, not a curated record.